CAGCUCAUUGAGGAAGUAAACACUUGAAGGUCGAAUGUCAGGCCGAGAUACCUGACUGGAACCAACCCAGGCCUGGCCCUCUCAUAAGAAGGAUCCUCGACACCCUCCUUCAAGCGAAGACAAAACAAAAGCUUGGUUUACAACUCUAUACUGGAAGGAAGGACCCAAUUGAACACCUUAACCUCUUUGAGUCCACCAUGGCAUAUCAGAUGCACACCGACAAAGAGCGAUGUCUUAUCUUCCCCUCAACCCUCUCUAGCAGAGCUCUAAACUGGUAUUGUCGUCUUCCACUUGAGACAGUAAACUCAUUUGAG
This 314-nucleotide long non-coding RNA is filed under the name Malus domestica (apple). RNAcentral describes it as "long non-coding RNA (MDOM_LNC005885)". Lineage: Eukaryota; Viridiplantae; Streptophyta; Magnoliopsida; Rosales; Rosaceae. The record is from RNAcentral.